CCUACGGGAGGCAGCAGUGGGGAAUCUUGCGCAAUGGGCGAAAGCCUGACGCAGCCAUGCCGCGUGAAUGAUGAAGGUCUUAGGAUUGUAAAAUUCUUUCACCGGGGACGAUAAUGACGGUACCCGGAGAAGAAGCCCCGGCUAACUUCGUGCCAGCAGCCGCGGUAAUACGAAGGGGGCUAGCGUUGCUCGGAAUUACUGGGCGUAAAGGGAGCGUAGGCGGACAUUUAAGUCAGGGGUGAAAUCCCAGAGCUCAACUCUGGAACUGCCUUUGAUACUGGGUGUCUUGAGUGUGAUAGAGGUAUGUGGAACUCCGAGUGUAGAGGUGAAAUUCGUAGAUAUUCGGAAGAACACCAGUGGCGAAGGCGACAUACUGGAUCAUUACUGACGCUGAGGCUCGAAAGCGUGGGGAGCAAACAGGAUUAGAUACCCUGGUAGUCCACGCCGUAAACGAUGAUUGCUAGUUGUCGGGGUGUUUACAUCUCGGUGACGCAGCUAACGCAUUAAGCAAUCCGCCUGGGGAGUACGGUCGCAAGAUUAAAACUCAAAGGAAUUGACGG
This 560-nucleotide ribosomal RNA is filed under the name uncultured bacterium. RNAcentral describes it as "bacterial SSU rRNA". It matches the Rfam family "Bacterial small subunit ribosomal RNA", at positions 338 to 916 of the family's 1533-position model. The record is from RNAcentral.